GCCAUAUAGGGGAAUGGGGUGAGCCACUCAGUGAUGGACUCGAUGGUAGGAGGGACUGAGGCUGGGAUUCAGGCUAAGGGGGGCUCCGAUGGGGUUCCCCUUCCUCGAAAAUCUUUUUCAUGAGGUUACUCAUCUAGAAUAUCUGAGGGGCAAGGAAGCCCUCAUUUUGAUCGACCUUUGGUAGAUUAAUCCAGCAGCAUGGGCCCGAUGUUUGCAUCCUGC
Molecule: long non-coding RNA, 222 nt
Filed under: Elaeis guineensis (African oil palm)
Lineage: Eukaryota; Viridiplantae; Streptophyta; Magnoliopsida; Arecales; Arecaceae
Description: long non-coding RNA (EGUI_LNC001996)
Source: RNAcentral